RNAcentral lists this long non-coding RNA (675 nucleotides) under Phoenix dactylifera (date palm). Its description in RNAcentral is "long non-coding RNA (PDAC_LNC019587)". The record is from RNAcentral. Lineage: Eukaryota; Viridiplantae; Streptophyta; Magnoliopsida; Arecales; Arecaceae.
UAGGACAAAUGAGCCUGAAUCAGAAUAGAUCAAGCAACAGCAAGCAGACAAUUCCAAUUAUCUUGGAUGCUACUAAGGUCUACUUUCGAGUUGAGUGGUGAUGUGGAAACCACCGUAGGCAAACAAAAUGCAUGUAGGUUUUGGUUGACGUAGUUGGCAAUGCUUUGUUUGCUAAUUCGUGCUAUGGAUUUGGACUGCCCAAAACCAUGAUUUUUUUGUUUCUUUUUCUUCUUUACCAGGUAACAAGAGGAGAUGACUAGUUCAAUUUCUGAAUCUAAUUGUCUGAGACUCUUGGAACAGAUCAUCUAAUUGUGCCGUUGUGACAUCUGAGAUCACUCCGUGGUCUCGGAAAUCAGCAGCGUGUGUAGAUGGACAAGGUCCUACAUCCAGGCAGUUAAAUAUAAUGAGGUCCGCAACACUGCUAAACAUCCAUGGUUACAACCUAUUGAUCAGGGAUUAUCUAAUAGACGACGACACGAUUGAGGGUCUUUAAUGAAAAAAUUGAAUAAUCGCAGAUUUCAGAUAUAUAAAUUCACGGAAUUCAUGGUGGACCAGCCAAUCGGUUAAAACUAAAAGAAUAUGAUUAUAAGAAGGAAUUUGAUAUUGCUUUGACAUUUAUGUCCGCACUUUUUUUUUGUACUUUCAGGAGAAAAAAAAAAGUCACACGCCGAUCUA